AUAGGUCAAGCUACUAAGAGCGUAGAGUGGAUGCCUUGGCACCGAGAGCCGAUGAAGGACGUGGUAAGCUGCGAAAAGCUUUGGAGAGGCGCAAACAGCCGUUAUAUCCAGAGAUGUCCGAAUGGGGAAACCUAGCUAAGUAAACCUUAGUUAACGUAUGGUGAAUAAAUAGCCAUACGUGGGGAACGUUGGGAACUGAAACAUCUAAGUACCAACAGGAGGAGAAAGAA
Molecule: ribosomal RNA, 230 nt
Filed under: Candidatus Parepulonipiscium sp. PG-Nele67M_MBin01
Lineage: Bacteria; Bacillati; Bacillota; Clostridia; Lachnospirales; Lachnospiraceae
Description: Epulopiscium sp. Nele67-Bin001 partial 23S ribosomal RNA
Rfam family: Bacterial large subunit ribosomal RNA
Source: RNAcentral